GAAAUGCGAUACGUAAUGUGAAUUGCAGAAUUCAGUGAAUCAUCGAGUCUUUGAACGCACAUUGCGCCCCCUGGUAUUCCGGGGGGCAUGCCUGUCCGAGCGUCAUUGCUGCCCUCAAGCACGGCUUGUGUGUUGGGCCCCCGUCCCCCUCCAAGGGGACGGGCCCGAAAGGCAGCGGCGGCACCGUGUCCGGUCCUCGAGCGUAUGGGAAGCAACUUUUUUGUCACCCGCUCCUGUAGGUCCGGCCGGCGGCCUGCCCAACCCCAACCUUUUUUUCUAACCAGGUUGACCUCGGAUCAGGUAGGGAUACCCGCUGAACUUAA
This 323-nucleotide unclassified non-coding RNA is filed under the name uncultured Eurotiales. Its description in RNAcentral is "sequence contains ITS1". The stretch from base 1 to 105 matches the Rfam family "5.8S ribosomal RNA", at positions 50 to 154 of the family's 154-position model. Lineage: Eukaryota; Fungi; Ascomycota; Eurotiomycetes; Eurotiales. The record is from RNAcentral.